This 218-nucleotide ribosomal RNA is filed under the name uncultured bacterium. Its description in RNAcentral is "partial 16S ribosomal RNA". It matches the Rfam family "Bacterial small subunit ribosomal RNA", at positions 328 to 539 of the family's 1533-position model. The record is from RNAcentral.
ACGCUCGACACCUACGGGAGGUAGCAGUGAGGAAUAUUGGUCAAUGGGCGCUAGCCUGAACCAGCCAAGUAGCGUGAAGGAUGAAGGCUCUAUGGGUCGUAAACUUCUUUUAUAUAAGAAUAAAGUGCAGUAUGUAUACUGUUUUGUAUGUAUUAUAUGAAUAAGGAUCGGCUAACUCCGUGUCAGCAGCCGCGGUAAUCUGAGCGGGCUGGCAAGGC